UACGUAGGGUGCAAGCGUUGUCCGGAAUUAUUGGGCGUAAAGAGCUCGUAGGCGGUCUGUCGCGUCGGAUGUGAAAAUCCAGGGCUCAACCCUGGACCUGCAUUCGAUACGGGCAGACUAGAGUUCGGUAGGGGAGACUGGAAUUCCUGGUGUAGCGGUGAAAUGCGCAGAUAUCAGGAGGAACACCGGUAGCGAAGGCGGGUCUCUGGGCCGAAACUGACGCUGAGGAGCGAAAGCGUGGGGAGCAAACAGG
This 253-nucleotide ribosomal RNA is filed under the name uncultured bacterium. RNAcentral's name for it is "partial 16S ribosomal RNA". It matches the Rfam family "Bacterial small subunit ribosomal RNA", at positions 524 to 776 of the family's 1533-position model. The record is from RNAcentral.